UACGUAGGGUGCGAGCGUUAAUCGGAAUUACUGGGCGUAAAGCGUGCGCAGGCGGUUUGCUACGACCGAUGUGAAAUCCCCGGGCUUAACCUGGGAACUGCAUUGGUGACUGGCAGGCUAGAGUAUGGCAGAGGGGGGUAGAAUUCCACGUGUAGCAGUGAAAUGCGUAGAGAUGUGGAGGAACACCGAUGGCGAAGGCAGCCCCCUGGGCUGAGAUUGACGCUCAGGCACGAAAGCGUGGGGAGCAAACAGG
Molecule: ribosomal RNA, 253 nt
Filed under: uncultured bacterium
Lineage: Bacteria
Description: partial 16S ribosomal RNA
Rfam family: Bacterial small subunit ribosomal RNA
Source: RNAcentral